GACCCGGUAGCUCAGUUGGUAGAGCAACGGACUUUUAAUCCGUAGGUCGUGGGUUCGAAACCCACCCGGGUCA
This 73-nucleotide transfer RNA is filed under the name Gemmatimonadaceae bacterium. RNAcentral describes it as "tRNA-Lys". It matches the Rfam family "tRNA". Rfam says of the family: Transfer RNA (tRNA) molecules are approximately 80 nucleotides in length. Their secondary structure includes four short double-helical elements and three loops (D, anti-codon, and T loops). RNAcentral also lists the same sequence under 4 other names. Lineage: Bacteria; Pseudomonadati; Gemmatimonadota; Gemmatimonadia; Gemmatimonadales; Gemmatimonadaceae. The record is from RNAcentral.